AGUGAACGCUGGCGGUAGGCCUAACACAUGCAAGUCGAACGGCAGCACAGUAAGAGCUUGCUCUUACGGGUGGCGAGUGGCGGACGGGUGAGGAAUACAUCGGAAUCUACUUUUUCGUGGGGGAUAACGUAGGGAAACUUACGCUAAUACCGCAUACGACCUACGGGUGAAAGCAGGGGAUCUUCGGACCUUGCGCGAUUGAAUGAGCCGAUGUCGGAUUAGCUAGUUGGCGGGGUAAAGGCCCACCAAGGCGACGAUCCGUAGCUGGUCUGAGAGGAUGAUCAGCCACACUGGAGCUGAGACACGGUCCAGACUCCUACGGGAGGCAGCAGUGGGGAAUAUUGGAAAAUGGGCGCAAGCCUGAUCCAGCCAUACCGCGUGGGUGAAGAAGGCCUUCGGGUUGUAAAGCCCUUUUGUUGGGAAAGAAAAGCAGCAGGUUAAUACCCCGCUGUUCUGACGGUACCCAAAGAAUAAGCACCGGCUAACUUCGU
Molecule: ribosomal RNA, 491 nt
Filed under: uncultured bacterium
Lineage: Bacteria
Description: partial 16S ribosomal RNA
Rfam family: Bacterial small subunit ribosomal RNA
Source: RNAcentral